CAGCAGUGAAAUUAUUUGCUCUUAGCGACGUGAUAAGUGGGGGAUUCCAAGCUAAGGUCCCGAUGACACGGGUACAGUGAGGUCUGGAAGGCUCAGACGUGAGUAUCUUUUGGUUUGAACCCCAUGUUCUCCUUUCUCCUUCCCAAAUCCCUUUGGAUUGGUUUCACCCUAUGUAAUCAGGAGUGAAAUAGAAUGUGUAAGAAUGGGAGAGGGCACUGAUGAGCUGUUUAGUGCUUAGUAUGUCCUUUAGCUGAAAUAUCAAUGUAUCCGGGCUGGGGUGGGGCGGCGGGGUGGGUAUCGAGAAAUAAUUUAACUCUACCAAAACCCAUGGCUAACUUCUAUUGGCUCUUUAGGUUUCGGCUUAAAUAUCACUUUUCCCUAAAACCCUCCCAAGAGUGGAUUAGGUGUCUCCCAGUAUGGAUAUUUGUUGUUGUUUCUGGUUGUUAACAUCCAAAACCUCUACUGAAUGUGGGGAAGAGUUCCCUUAUGUGUAGUAUUUGUGGGAUCCCUUCCUCUUCUCAUGGAAGAAGCUGAAUGAGGGCAGAUUUCUCUCCCACCCUCUGACAGUCCAAGUCUCAUCCAAUCCGAUGCUAUUUUCUGGAAUCUUGGAUUGUGAUUGACACAGAGACAAGCAUUUUUCUUUGCCUAAAUCAGCCAGAAGUAGUUUCCAGGCUUGCCCUGGGACACUUGGAUGAGCCACUCUCUCAUGAGCUCCCAGGGUAUCUCUAAUAGUUUUGUAAGUCUUUCCUGACAAAUUAUUAUGAAUUUUGUAGAUUAAAACAACAGACAUUUAGUCUCCCACAGUUCUAGAGGCCAGAAGUCCAAAGUCAGUAUCACCAGGCCAAAAUCAACGUGUUGGCGGGGCCAUGCUGCCUCCAGGAAGGGAGAAUCCCUUCCUUCUCUUUCUUCAGCUCCCAGUUUCUCAUGGCUGCCAUCAUCCCUCAGCUUAUGGCUUGUGGCUGCAUCACUCCAGGCUCUGCUUCUUGGUCACAUUGUCUUCUCCUCUUCUCUGUGUGUUAAAUCUCCCUCCGCCUCCCUUUUUAUAAGGAUCCAUGUGAAUGCAUUUAAGACCCACACACAUCAUCCACAAUAAACUCCCCAUCUCAAGAUCCUUAAUUAUAUCUGCAAAGACAUUUUGUUGUUGUUGUUGUUGUUAUAUAAGUUAACAUUCGGAGGUUCCAGGGAUUGGGUUGUGGAGAUAUAUAUAUUUAAAAAAAUUUUUUUAAUGUUUAUUUAUUUUUGACAGAGAGAGAGAGAGACAGAGCAUGAGCGGGGUGGGGGGCAGAGAGAGAGGGAGACACAGGAUCUGAAACAGACUCCAGGCUCUGAGCUGUCAGCACAGAGCCCACGCAGGGCUCAAACUCACAGACCGCGAGAUCAUGCCCUGAGCCGAAGUCGGACGCUCAACCGACUGAGCCAACCAGGUGCUCCAUGAUUGUGGAUACAUUUUGGUGGCCAUUUUUCAGCCUUUUAUGCAGUAUCCUCACUUUGUUCAGGAGGUCAGUUUACUUGUCUCUUUCCCUUCCUAGACUGUGAACUCCUGGAGUUCAGAAGCAUUCAUCUUGCCUAUCACUUAUUCCUGGUGCCAAAGUUCUGGUGGGCACACAAAGACACUUGUUGAAUGAAUCAAAAAACAAGUUCAAGCCAAGAUGUAAUCAAUGUUGCAUCCUUUUUUUCAACACCAGGCUUGAAGUUUAAGAUUUUAGGGGCUGGGGCGCCUGGGUGGCGCAGUCGGUUAAGCGUCCGACUUCAGCCAGGUCACGAUCUCACGGUCCGUGAGUUCGAGCCCCGCGUCAGGCUCUGGGCUGAUGGCUCAGAGCCUGGAGCCUGUUUCCGAUUCUGUGUCUCCCUCUCUCUCUGCCCCUCCCCCGUUCAUGCUCUGUCUCUCUCUGUCCCAAAAAUAAAUAAUCGUUGAAAAAAAAAAUAAAAAAAAAAAGAUUUUAGGGGCAAAUUUUCUCUUCUAAUAGGGAUGUCGAUGUCAACACUAUCUGUCUCUUUAAUCGAGUUAGUGUUGCUUUCACACCUCUAACUUUUCACAGCACUAAGCCAGCAGACAGGAAGCUCGUGCACCCCAUCUGACUCCCAGGGCAGAUGCUGCCAGACGAUCAUGGCUCUUCCCUCAAAAGCCCAAACGCUGCCUUUGAGUCCUUGACACAGCAUUCCAGGCAGCUGCUCCCUAUCAGGUGAAGUUGGCCAGCAAGGUAAAAUUUUUCAUGUCACCACAACCAGAAGAUAAAAAGCCAACCUCCUCAGUCUGGUCCCACCUUGCUUGGCCACUUUCUUUUUCAUUAUUUUUAGCAUUAACUCUCUACUUGAGCUGGCAUCAAACAUACCACAUUCAGUCUCCACUCUGAGUUCAUAAUGUUCUUCUCUCUUUCCUCUCCAAGGUAGUAGCCCCCCUUCAGCUUUCAGUGCAAGUCCCCACAAACAGAACAGAUUUUUCUGUAACUUUGACACAUAUAGUCAUUUCUCUUCAUGCUACCAAACGCAAUUUGUUUUCUCCCCAGGUCUCCAAUUAUAAUCAGCACCUACUUCCCCAAUAACGUUCCUUUACUUACUCCAUCAUACCGACAUUUAACUUACAAUCUCUCCCCACGUUCCAAUAUGUUAAACACUUAAUUUCUAUUCUGGGUUUCUCAGAGGAGACUCUCAUGACCUGCAGAAGGCUCUAGCAGUUGCCAAGUGGGGCUAGUGUGGCCCCCAGCUAUGUUACGCCUGGUUAGAGCCAGGUUCCAGGUGUGUCUGAUUCUGGUCAAUUGGAAUCUGAACUCUGUUUCUGGGCCAAGUUGGAAGGAUCCAACUUCCAAUCCAAACAGUGUAGUCACUAAUCAAUGCACUCUUUCCCUGCCUUCAGCAUGGAGAAUACCGCAGAUGUUUCCACACAAUCUUUUGGGCUGUAUUAUGUGCCACCAAACCCACUUAAUCUUGGAGAAAUGACAAUGUGCAAAUAAAUUACCAAGCUGAUGUCUUGCUUCAGAGUUAAGGGUUUCAGUUGCCAGAUACAUAAUAUGAAAUAGGUACAGAUUGUAAUGUACCAUCUUUCUUACAGGAAGAUAAAUCUAAAGUGGACUUAUUGCCUAAACCUGGUUUAUGAUAGUAUGUGGUUUUCGUGCUAUGUGGUUAAACCUUUUUAUUUUAAUCACCCAAGGCUAUCCUGGUUUAGAUAUAGUCAUUCUUUUAUUUUUUGUAGUUGCUGCAAUCUCUGGGAUCAAUUCGAAUCGGUUCAAUACUGUUACUCAUAAUGAUAUGUAGGUGGUGGUAGAGUCAAACUCUGCCGGAAAUGACUUUAGGUAGAUAAACCUCCUAAGUCAAGGGAAACAAAAGCAAAAAUCAAUGAUUGGGACCACCGCAACAUAAAAAGAUUCUGUACAGCAAAGGAAACAAGCAACAAAACAAAAAGGCAGCCUACUGAAUGGGAGAGGAUGUUUGCAGAGACAUAUCCAAUGUAGGGUUAGUAUCCAGAGUAUAUAAAGAGCUUACACAACUCAACACCAAAAAAAUCCCACAAAUAAUCCAAUUAAAAAAGACAGGGCGGAAGACAUGAACAGAUAUUUCUCCAGAGAAGACAUCCAGAUGGCCAACAGACACAUGAAAAGAUGCUCAUCAUCAUUAAUCGUCAGGAAAAUGCAAAUCAAAACCACUAUGAGAUAUCACCUCAUCCCUUCAGAAUGGCUAAAAUCAAAAAUAUAAGAAACAACAGGUGUUGGUGAGGAUGUAGAGAAAAAGGAAGACUCGUGUACUGUUGGUGGGAAUGCAAACUGGUGCAGCCACUGUGGAGGUUUCCUCAAAAAAAUUAAAAAUAGAAUUACCAUUUGAUCCAGCAAUUCCACUACUGGAAUUAUUUUUUUACCCAAAGAAUAUGAAAACACUAAUUUGAAAAGAUACAUGCACCCCUAUGUUUAUUGCAACAUUAUUUACAAAAGUCAAAUUAUGGAAACAACCCCAAGUGUCCAUUGAUAGGUGAAUGUAUAAAGAAUGUGGUAUAGAUAGGUAGAUAGACAGAUGUAGAAUAUUAUUCAUCCAUAAAAAUGAUGAAAUCUUGCCAUUUGCAACAACAUGGAUGGGUCUAGAGGGCAUAAUGCUAAACAAAAUAAGUCAGAGAGAAACAAAUAUCAUAUGAUUUCACUCAUAUGUGGAAUAUGAAACAAAACAAAGAAAAAAAGAGACAAACCAAAAAACAGACUCUUUAGAGAACAAACUAGUGGUUGCCAGAGGGGAGGUGAGGGUAAGUGAUGGGUGAAACAGGUGAAGGAGAUUAAGAGUGCACUUAUCAUGAUAAACAUUGAGUAAUAUAUAGAAUUGUUGAAUCACUGUAUUGUACACCUGAAAUGAAUAUAACACUGUAUAUUAACUCCAUCGGAAUAAAAAAUAAUAAAAAUGCUGAAAAAAAAUUGCUCUUAGGGCUGGGAGUUUGGUCUGCAAGAUGUCUCAUUCAUCCAAUGUCACAGUACAAGUGUGUAUUUCUUCAAAUCUUGGGAAGUAAAAUUGGGGCCAUGAGAGGCACACCAUGUCCUUUUCAUGGUGUGCAGAAGACGCCACAAGGGCCUUAAAUCAUCAAGCUGCUCUUUAGCUGAUGUAUUUGGAGCAGUCUCAUUCUCUGUCCACAGAUGGUCCCAGCUCCAAACUGUCUGCCCCCUUUCUUCCCCUUUCCAGCUGUGUCUCUGCAUCCAUGGCCUGAGAUCCCCAAAGGCCAUCCAUUCUUCUUUCUCCCCCCACAUCAACCGUAAGUAAGUCAAUACAUUAAAAAAGCUUUCUGUACUUUGGCAGGUUUAGAAAAUUCUUUACACUUCUCACUAUUGGAAAGAGUGAGUCAAUGUACUUUUGUAUCAGUUUCUAAAGUGUUUGAUUUUUUAAAAAAAUGUUUGGCUCAAAAUUCUGUCAUCUUAUAUUGAAUUCUCUUGUGAUUUUGACCUUUUUGACUCAAGGAGGAGCAUCACAGGGAAAUGGAAAUAUUGUCAACUAUUGUCCCCAGACCUCCAAAAGAACAGAGACCUAACUAACCCAGCUUUGGUAACCUUUCCUUCUUCUCUUCUUUUGGAAGAAGAACGAAUGAUCAAAAUGAAGAUACUCGUGGGACCAAAGAAAGGCAGGUGUGGAACUUGGGCUGGAUCCCCACCUUGAGUAACAGAGCAGGAGAGGACUCUCUAAAUGCCUCAUCUAACACGAUGGGAUGAUGCUUAAAGAACACAAUGCUUUCUAAACAGUUUUGUUGUUUAGAGAUUGUCAAACUCUGUAACAUAACUGAGAUAAUGUCUCUCAUCUUUUAAAGUAAAAAUUGCAUGGAAAAGUCUCUAUUAUGUAGACAUUUGAUAACCUUCUUUGCCAGUAUCUUUUGGGGGAUGGGGCAGCCUUUAGCAUCUGCAACUAACUGUGCCCAAAGCAGCUUCCAAAAGCCAAUUUCGGCUUGUCCUCUAGGCCGAAGGCAGAGCAAUUAGAAACCAGGCCCCUGCUGUAUCAUUCACUUUGUGGCAUCAAAAUAUGGAGAUGUUGCUCAUGUUUGGGUUGUUUUCCAGUGUGCAAUGCCAACCAUCUGAUAUUUGUGCUAAGUGGGAUUACUGAGAGAAAUAUCAGUGGGGCAGCUUCCCAAGAUGACAGAUUGUGGGAAGGCCUCUCAGCUACAGCAAAUGGGCAUUUGGAUUCUCCAACGUCCAUCCAGAAAGGGAGAGGAGAACCCGCAUUCCUCAGAUGCCUGGUGUUUCACCCUCAGUUGCAACGUCACAUAAACAUCUGGUCAAAGUUUUGAGGCAGACAGGCAGGCAGGCGACAGUGAUUCGUGUCGUUGAUAACCAGUUAUGCAUUACCUUAAUUUGAAAAGAAUACUUGUCUCACCCCUCCCCCACUAUUACCUGGUUUCUGAAAGGCAAGAAUGUUCUCAGAGAAAGGACCUUUCUUAGCAAAUGUUGGAUUCAUAAAGGAAGAAGUCACGACAAGAGAAAAGACCUUGCAAGGGCACGACUCUCAUUGUUUGCAGGGACAGAAUUGCUUUUCAAACUUGCAUAUGCUCACCAAUUUCAAACAACAAUCAUGCUUCUGCAGUGGGGCCUCUGACUCAGAAUUUCCAACCAGCUCUGAGGGGAUGGCUGGUGGUGUUGGCCCCAUGGACCUCUCUCAGAGGAGCAAAGGCUUCUGCCAGUGAUUCUUGUGUGGAGGCAGGGAAGGCAUAUAUAAGAACCACCUGGAGGAAGUUCUUUCAGAAUACACAUUCCCCUUUCUCCCCCACAAGGGCCAGCAAAGUGGAUGUAAUGAGGGGCAUGUGGAUUUUUAAAAAGCAUUAUUGAGAUAUAAGCCACAAGCCAGAAAGCACCCAUUUUAAGUAUACGGUUCAAUGGUUAUUAGUGUUAGUUGUGCAGCCAUCACCACAAACUUAUUUAAAAAAAUUUUUUUUUCAACGUUUGUUUAUUUUUGGGA
RNAcentral lists this long non-coding RNA (6408 nucleotides) under Lynx pardinus (Iberian lynx). The record is from RNAcentral. Lineage: Eukaryota; Metazoa; Chordata; Mammalia; Carnivora; Felidae.